UACAGAGGAGGCAAGCGUUAUCCGGAAUUAUUGGGCGUAAAGCGUCCGCAGGUGGCACUUCAAGUCUGUCGUCAAAGACUGGGGCUUAACCCCGGAAAGGCGGUGGAAACUGAAGCGCUAGAGUGCGGUAGGGGUAGAGGGAAUUCCCGGUGUAGCGGUGAAAUGCGUAGAGAUCGGGAAGAACAUCGGUGGCGAAAGCGCUCUACUGGACCGCAACUGACACUCAGGGACGAAAGCUAGGGGAGCGAAUGGG
This 253-nucleotide ribosomal RNA is filed under the name uncultured bacterium. RNAcentral describes it as "partial 16S ribosomal RNA". It matches the Rfam family "Bacterial small subunit ribosomal RNA", at positions 524 to 776 of the family's 1533-position model. The record is from RNAcentral.